AGUGAACGCCGGCGGUAGGCCUAACACAUGCAAGUCGAACGGCAGCACAGUAAGAGCUUGCUCUUACGGGUGGCGAGUGGCGGACGGGUGAGGAAUACAUCGGAAUCUACUUUUUCGUGGGGGAUAACGUAGGGAAACUUACGCUAAUACCGCAUACGACCUACGGGUGAAAGCAGGGGAUCUUCGGACCUUGCGCGAUUGAAUGAGCCGAUGUCGGAUUAGCUAGUUGGCGGGGUAAAGGCCCACCAAGGCGACGAUCCGUAGCUGGUCUGAGAGGAUGAUCAGCCACACUGGAACUGAGGCACGGUCCAGACUCCUACGGGAGGCAGCAGUGGGGAAUAUUGGACAAUGGGCGCAAGCCUGAUCCAGCCAUACCGCGUGGGUGAAGAAGGCCUUCGGGUUGUAAAGCCCUUUUGUUGGGAAAGAAAAGCAGCAGGUUAAUACCCCGCUGUUCUGACGGUACCCAAAGAAUAAGCACCGGCUAACUUCGUG
RNAcentral lists this ribosomal RNA (492 nucleotides) under uncultured bacterium. RNAcentral describes it as "partial 16S ribosomal RNA". It matches the Rfam family "Bacterial small subunit ribosomal RNA", at positions 29 to 507 of the family's 1533-position model. The record is from RNAcentral.